RNAcentral lists this ribosomal RNA (700 nucleotides) under uncultured beta proteobacterium. Its description in RNAcentral is "bacterial SSU rRNA". It matches the Rfam family "Bacterial small subunit ribosomal RNA", at positions 94 to 793 of the family's 1533-position model. The record is from RNAcentral. Lineage: Bacteria; Pseudomonadati; Pseudomonadota; Betaproteobacteria.
AGUGGCGAACGGGUGAGUAAUACAUCGGAACGUACCUUAUCGUGGGGGAUAACGCAGCGAAAGCUGUGCUAAUACCGCAUACGCCCUGAGGGGGAAAGCGGGGGAUCGAAAGACCACGCGCGAUUAGAGCGGCCGAUGCCUGAUUAGCUUGUUGGUGGGUAAAAGCCCACCAAGGCGACGAUCAGUAGCUGGUCUGAGAGGACGAUCAGCCACACUGGGACUGAGACACGGCCCAGACUCCUACGGGAGGCAGCAGUGGGGAAUUUAGGACAAUGGGGGAAACCCUGAUCCAGCAAUGCCGCGUGAGUGAAGAAGGCCUUCGGGUUGUAAAGCUCUUUUGUCAGGGAAGAAACACCGGCUCUAACACAGUCCGGGAAUGACGGUACCUGAAGAAUAAGCACCGGCUAACUACGUGCCAGCAGCCGCGGUAAUACGUAGGGUGCGAGCGUUAAUCGGAAUUACUGGGCGUAAAGCGUGCGCAGGCGGUUAUACAAGACAGGCGUGAAAUCCCCGGGCUUAACCUGGGAAUGGCGCCUGUGACUGUAUAGCUAGAGUGUGUCAGAGGGGGGUAGAAUUCCACGUGUAGCAGUGAAAUGCGUAGAUAUGUGGAGGAAUACCAAUGGCGAAGGCAGCCCCCUGGGAUAACACUGACGCUCAUGCACGAAAGCGUGGGAGCAAACAGGAUUAGAUACCCUGGUAG